GGCUCCAUAGUUUAGUGGUUAGCACGUCUGCUUUACACGCAGAAGGUCCUGGGUUCGCUACCCAGGUGGAGGCA
RNAcentral lists this transfer RNA (74 nucleotides) under Pteropus alecto (black flying fox). It matches the Rfam family "tRNA". Rfam says of the family: Transfer RNA (tRNA) molecules are approximately 80 nucleotides in length. The record is from Rfam by way of RNAcentral. Lineage: Eukaryota; Metazoa; Chordata; Mammalia; Chiroptera; Pteropodidae.